RNAcentral lists this ribosomal RNA (540 nucleotides) under Triticum aestivum (bread wheat). RNAcentral's name for it is "partial small subunit ribosomal RNA". Lineage: Eukaryota; Viridiplantae; Streptophyta; Magnoliopsida; Poales; Poaceae. The record is from RNAcentral.
AUGGUUUCCGCCGACGUGGCCCGCAACAUCGUCGGCAUCAUCGGCAAUGUCAUCUCCUUCGGUCUCUUCCUCUCCCCUGUGCCGACGUUCUGGCGGAUCUACAAGGCCAAGGACGUGGAGGAGUUCAAACCGGACCCCUACCUGGCGACGCUCAUGAACUGCCUGCUCUGGUUCUUUUACGGGCUCCCCAUCGUCCACCCCAACAGCACCCUCGUCCUCACCAUCAACGGCAUCGGCCUUGUCAUUGAGGGCGCCUACAUCAUCAUCUUCAUCAUCUAUGCGGCUAAGAACACAAGGUGGAAGAUGCUGGGCGUGCUCGCCCUCGAGGCGGCGUUCGUGGCUGCCGUGGUGGCCGGCGUGCUCCUCGGUGCCCACACCCAUGAGAAGCGCUCCAUGAUCGUAGGCAUCCUCUGCGUCAUCUUCGGCUCCAUCAUGUACGCCUCCCCGCUCACCAUCAUGGUACGUACACCACCCCAACUUAAGGGUCGUCGACCCGUGAUCUUUGAUAACCGCUUUAACUUGUUAGUUCAGGUUGGCUAA